This 542-nucleotide long non-coding RNA is filed under the name Callithrix jacchus (white-tufted-ear marmoset). Its description in RNAcentral is "lncRNA (ENSCJAG00000069831.1)". Lineage: Eukaryota; Metazoa; Chordata; Mammalia; Primates; Cebidae. The record is from RNAcentral.
AGCUAACAAAUUCAGCUUCCUGGCCAUGAAAGGUCCUGUGCCACCACAGCACUCUGCACAGGGUACCCACUACUAAGAAGACUCUUGCGAGAUUUGGCCCCUUCACUUUGAACUUGUCAGCUUCCAUAACUGAAGGCAAUUCAGGAGGUACUGCCAGUAGCCUAGCCUUUUCUUCUGUUGAAAUGCAGUGUGGAGGUCAAGGGGGAGGUGAUCCCAGAUGCCUGUGUCUCCUUCCUCAGUAGAACAUCUUCAAGUGUACCAAAAUCUGGCUGGAGUUUGUAUGAGAGAGAGCAAUGUUUUCAAGUUGUAUUUUGCUUCCCAGCUGCUAUUUGUGCAGUCUACACUGAUGCACCAAAUAAAUAUCUAUUUAUAAAUCAGUUCCAUCCGAGAAAAAGUCAGAGACCAGUCAGGAGACUUCCACCCAAAGGCAACUGAAAAAAUACCCACAUUAAAUGGGUAAGUGAAGUCAAAGUAUACUAAGGCAUGGACCCCACACUGGGAACUUCAUCAUACAAUUGGGAAAGGAAUCUCCAAUACUCAGU